Molecule: ribosomal RNA, 467 nt
Filed under: uncultured bacterium
Lineage: Bacteria
Description: partial 16S ribosomal RNA
Rfam family: Bacterial small subunit ribosomal RNA
Source: RNAcentral
GACGAACGCUGGCGGCGUGCUUAACACAUGCAAGUCGAACGGAAAGGCCCUGCUUUUGUGGGGUGCUCGAGUGGCGAACGGGUGAGUAACACGUGAGUAACCUGCCCUUGACUUUGGGAUAACUUCAGGAAACUGGGGCUAAUACCGGAUAGGAGCUCCUGCUGCAUGGUGGGGUUGGAAAGUUUCGGCGGUUGGGGAUGGACUCGCGGCUUAUCAGCUUGUUGGUGGGGUAGUGGCUUACCAAGGCUUUGACGGGUAGCCGGCCUGGGAGGGUGACCGGCCACAUUGGGACUGAGAUACGGCCCAGACUCCUACGGGAGGCAGCAGUGGGGAAUAUUGCACAAUGGGCGGAAGCCUGAUGCAGCAACGCCGCGUGCGGGAUGACGGCCUUCGGGUUGUAAACCGCUUUCGCCUGUGACGAAGCGUGAGUGACGGUAAUGGGUAAAGAAGCACCGGCUAACUACGUG